RNAcentral lists this ribosomal RNA (776 nucleotides) under uncultured archaeon. RNAcentral's name for it is "bacterial SSU rRNA". It matches the Rfam family "Archaeal small subunit ribosomal RNA", at positions 19 to 785 of the family's 1478-position model. The record is from RNAcentral.
GGAGGUCACUGCUAUUGGGAUUCGGCUAAGCCAUGCAAGCGGAGGGCGCGGUCGAAAGAUCGUGGCCCCGCACACUGCUCAGUAACACGUAGUCAACCUACCCUUGGGACGGGGACAACCUCGGGAAACUGAGGCUAAUCCCCGAUAGGUGAGGGACGCUGGAAUGCCUCCUCGCCCAAAGCUCCGGCGCUCAAGGAUGGGACUGCGGUCUAUCAGGCUGUUGGUGGUGUAACGGACCACCAAACCUACGACGGGUACGGGCGAUGGGAGUCGGAGCCCGGAGAUGGGGACUGAGACAAGGCCCCAGGCCCUACGGGGCGCAGCAGGCGCGAAAACUCCGCAAUGCGCGCAAGCGUGACGGGGGAAUCCCAAGUGCCGUUGGUCUUAUGAUCGACGGUUUUUAGGAAGUCUAAGAAGCUUCCAGAAUAAGGGCUGGGCAAGACUGGUGCCAGCCGCCGCGGUAACACCAGCAGCCCAAGUGGUGACCACGAUUAUUGGGCCCAAAGCGCUCGUAGCCGGAUCAGCAAGUCCCUUGUGAAAUCGGGCCGCCUAACGGUUCGGCGUGCAAGGGAUACUGUUGGUCUUGAGGCCGGGAGAGGUCGGAGGUACUCCUGGGGUAGCGGUGAAAUGCUCUAAUCCUAGGGGGACCACCAGUGGCGAANGCGUCCGACCAGAACGGACCUGACGGUGAGGGGCGAANGCUAGGGGAGCGAACGGGAUUAGAUACCCCGGUAGUCCUAGCUGUAAAGCAUGCGGGCCANGUGUCUAGCGCUCCU